UCAAAAAAAGUCUUACGACGCUAACUUUGGGAGUUAGAAUUUUGAUUAUUUCAAUUUUUGAA
This 62-nucleotide transfer RNA is filed under the name Runcina aurata. RNAcentral's name for it is "tRNA-Pro". The record is from RNAcentral. Lineage: Eukaryota; Metazoa; Mollusca; Gastropoda; Runcinacea; Runcinidae.